AGUGAACGCCGGCGGUAGGCCUAACACAUGCAAGUCGAACGGCAGCACAGUAAGAGCUUGCUCUUACGGGUGGCGAGUGGCGGACGGGUGAGGAAUACAUCGGAAUCUACUUUUUCGUGGGGGAUAACGUAGGGAAACUUACGCUAGUACCGCAUACGACCUACGGGUGAAAGCAGGGGAUCUUCGGACCUUGCGCGAUUGAAUGAGCCGAUGUCGGAUUAGCUAGUUGGCGGGGUAAAGGCCCACCAAGGCGACGAUCCGUAGCUGGUCUGAGAGGAUGAUCAGCCACACUGGAACUGAGACACGGUCCAGACUCCUACGGGAGGCAGCAGUGGGGAAUAUUGGACAAUGGGCGCAAGCCUGAUCCAGCCAUACCGCGUGGGUGAAGAAGGCCUUCGGGUUGUAAAGCCCUUUUGUUGGGAAAGAAAAGCAGCAGGUUAAUACCCCGCUGUUCUGACGGUACCCAAAGAAUAAGCACCGGCUAACUUCGUG
This 492-nucleotide ribosomal RNA is filed under the name uncultured bacterium. RNAcentral's name for it is "partial 16S ribosomal RNA". It matches the Rfam family "Bacterial small subunit ribosomal RNA", at positions 29 to 507 of the family's 1533-position model. The record is from RNAcentral.